CACACUGUAAACGAUGGAUACUAGGUGUAGGCACGCAAGUGUCUGUGCCGGCGCAAACGCAAUAAGUAUCCCACCUGGGGAGUACGGCCGCAAGGUUGAAACUCAAAGAAAUUGACGGGGGCCCGCACAAGCAGUGGAGUAUGUGGUUUAAUUCGACGCAACGCGAAGAACCUUACCAAGACUUGACAUACAUGGGAAUACUGGGUAAUGCCAGUAGUCUUUCGGGACCCAUGUACAGGUGA
Molecule: ribosomal RNA, 242 nt
Filed under: uncultured Bacillota bacterium
Lineage: Bacteria; Bacillati; Bacillota
Description: uncultured Firmicutes bacterium partial 16S ribosomal RNA
Rfam family: Bacterial small subunit ribosomal RNA
Source: RNAcentral